GUUAGGAAUAUUGGACAAUGGACGCAAGUCUGAUCCAGCCAUGCCGCGUGAGUGAUGAAGGCCUUCGGGUUGUAAAGCUCUUUAGCCGAUGAUUAUAAUGACUGUAGUCGGAAAAUAAGCCCCGGCUAACUUCGUGCCAGCAGCCGCGGUAAUACGAAGGGGGCGAGCGUUAUUCGGAAUCACUGGGCGUAAAGCGUGCGUAGGCGGUUUUGUAAGUUAGGAGUGAAAGCCCAGGGCUCAACCUUGGAAUUGCUCUUAAAACUGCAAGGCUCGAAUCUCGGAGAGGAUAGCGGAAUUUCCAGUGUAGCAGUGAAAUGCGUAGAUAUUGGAAGGAACACCAGUGGCGUAAGCGGCUAUCUGGACGAGUAUUGACGCUGAGGCACGAAAGCGUGGGGAUCAAACAGGAUUAGAAACCCCGGUAGUCC
Molecule: ribosomal RNA, 425 nt
Filed under: uncultured bacterium
Lineage: Bacteria
Description: partial 16S ribosomal RNA
Rfam family: Bacterial small subunit ribosomal RNA
Source: RNAcentral